AAGGUCCUCCCAAAUUGUAGCGGGUGUCAGAAUGUCCUUCCUUUUUAACACUAAGUCAUGUUCCGUUGUGUGGACGUACUACACUCUGUUUAUCCAUUGCCAUCCUGUUGAAAGAAGGAGCAGUAUGAAGCCAUAUGGUGGGAUGCUUCCUGCCCCUAUAUUGAUAAAGAGUAGGGCAUCUGUAGCUAAUCAGGUCUUGGGGAAAAGUGUCAACACUGCCCUCUGGUCAGAGAGACAAAACCUCAAGUUGGAGAAGAAGCCCCCUCUGCCUGAUUGCACUCAGUGAAAUGAAUUAGAGAUGACACAACUCUUGGAGGUCUUCCUUCCGCUUCCCCAGGCUCUCAGCGCAUCGAAUUUCACAGUGGAAGAGGCUGAUGGAGAUCAGGGUUGGCGGUCUGCACACUGGGGGCUGGGGAAAUCCUGUUCUUACAGGCAGCCAGUGAGGCUCUCCUGGGUCUGCAAUCACAUCUCUGCCUACCUCUUCCCCUGCAUGGCAUUAAGGGAGCUCAAAUUGCACCGUGGUUUCUGAGAACAAUGAGAUCCGAGCAUGUCACCUGGGCCCUGGACUCUGCACUGUCUGGGAUUCCUCAUUUGGAUGCAACAUUCCCAGAUCACGGUUACCUACGGAAAGAGAAGAGCAUUUGUCCAUUUGUUGAAACUACCUGGGCUCUUUAACGAUAAGUAUCUCUUAGGCUCUCUGCCUGCAGAGUGUGGUAGACUAGAAGAGAAUCCCUUUUGCCCCUUCUUACCUAUUUGGCACACACUUUUGUUGGGAUACUUGUCUCAUUUUGCUGCAGUGAUUUGUUUACAGGUAUGUCGUCCUAUCUAGACAUCCAGACUGGGAGGUGGCCAGAGACCAAUGCCCAGGAUAUGACACGUCUUCCUGUUCCUAAUGCCAGGGCAAAGAUUUCAGCUGUCACAGAGGUAGACAAAGGCAUAUGAUGAUGUCAUCUUGAGAGGUAGCAACAGCAAUGGGAAGAGGUAUGGAAGGAGAAAAAUGUGUGGUAAUUUCAAGAAAGGGUGAGUCACUAUUUCAGUUUUUAAGUGAAUACUGUUUAUAUCAUGCCCCUCCCCAAAUAUAUGUCCAAAUCCUAACAUGCAGAACCUGUGAAUGCAAACUUUUUUUUUUUGGAUAAAGUUUGUAGUUGCAAUGAAGGUAUGGAUUUUGAGAUGAGCUCAUCCUGGAUCAGGGUGGCCCUGAAUUCAAUGGCGGGUGUCCUUAUAAGAGACACAAGAGGAGACACGGACACAGAGGAAAAGCCACGUGAAGACAGAUGCAGAGACGGGAGGGACGCAGUUACAAACCCAGGGACACCUGGAGCCCCAGAAGCUGGAAGAGGAGGAAGGACCCUCCCCUGGAGCCUCUGGAGGGAGCUUGACCCUGCCCCACCUGGAUCUGAGUGGUCCUGCCCCGCCUGGAUCUCAGACUUCUGGUCUCCAGAGCUGGGGGAGGAUACAUUUCUGUUAUGUUAAUCCACCCAAUUUGUGGUCACUUCCCACUGUAACCCCUGUGAAACUAAUAUAUAAGGGAGUUGAGUUUUAUUUUCGGGUCAAAAGUCUUCUUCCAGGAUAACUAGGCAGUCCUCUUAUAUAGUUCUACCUUUCCCCCUUUCAUUGGGAUUAUAACUCAUUUCAUUUCUUCCAUCCUUCUAUCUCUGUGUUCAUUUUAUUUGUUUCCUUUUCAACCCUCUGUUUUAAAACGGUGAGCCUUUGUAUGGUGAUUAUUUCCAACAUCAGUGUGAGCCUUUGUAUGGUGAUUAUUUCCAACAUCAGUGCCUCCGUGUCAAACUGAGACCCAAGCACCCUUUCACCUUGGGUCUGGAAAUCCUGAAGGAGCAGCACAGUUGGUGUGGGCUGGCAGGUGGCAGUUCUUUGACGUGGCGGCGUAUGCCGUAGGUGAGUGGUGGUCGUAGUGUCUCCAUCUGGACUCUCACACUGGUGGUAUGGGUGGAUACUGGAUGCCCACUUGUUUAGGGGCACCUGCUCUUGUGCUCACUUGGACCCUAGAGGCAGCUGUUGAAGGAAGUACUGGAAUGGAGGAGAAGAGCUUGGGCCAACAAACACACAACCACUGAAACGAAAUGAUACCUUUGGCCUUGGUACCAGUUGGUGAUUGUAACAAUGCAUGAUUCCAUGGGGCUUUUUCAGAUCGACUGACCAUAGGUGGAAGGCCUGAGAUGGGCACGUCCUAGGUAAAACCCAGUGUGGGGAAGAUGGCGGUUUCUGCAAGCUGGCUUCUGGGGAUGAGGGAAUCCAGCUGGAAGGCAAAUCCACGCAUGUGCCGAGGGUCUCAGGAGUGAUUUCUCAGGACAAGUGUGGCCACGAAGGUCAACAUUCUCCCACCAGACUGUCAUGCUGGCCGUAAACAAAACUGGUAGUUUGGAGAAGGAUCUACUUCUUGUCAAGCAUGGAGAGGGGAAAGAACAGACAUUGGGAUUAGAGCAGAGCGUGGUUAUUUUGGCCUCUGUUGAGUCCAUAAGUAAAAUAGCCUCUUUGUGGAGGCAAGUUUCCUUCAUUCUAAUGGUAGUUGAUAAAGGGAAAUAACAGGAAAGAGCCAUUAAAAAAAUCAUCCAAAGUCAGAGAUCCACUGCAAGAACAGGUGAUUAUGAGGGUCAUGUUCCCAGGACACCACUUUCUUUGUAAAAUAUGCCCCUUGGGAGAGCAAGCUGGCUUUUGGGGUGCUCUGAGGAGCUAGCAUCACCCCCUCAUCCCGAGGGUCCCGUGGGACGAUGCCAGGGCUAUGUGUUAACGUACAGCAGCUGUAUGCUCAGAGCUCAAGCAUCCUAUAGCCAUAGAACCACUGCAUUUUAAGAUGACAAAGCAUCUCUACAAUUUUCUAGGUUGAUGACCAAUGAGAAGGAUAAAGUCAAACAAAGAUUGCAACUCAGGAGGUUUCCUUAUGGAAAUAGAAUCUUGGGCUCUCCAUUGCACCGGAAUGAGGCAGGCUGCGUGGAGGACAUGCUGGCCGCCUGGGUCAGAACCACGAAGGGGCCAGAGUCUGGUGAUCCUCCAUUCGAGAGCUCGCCAUCCUGCUGUCCCUGGCCACCCAGAAGGACUCAAGAUGGCCUGGGGUCCCAGGUGCCUUGGGCUGCCCAGCAAAACCUGCCCGCGCACGACCAGGAGCAUACCAUAGGUGGUGAGGAAAAGGCACAGGGUCUCUGCAGAGGACGUGAGUCCUGGAGCAGGAAGAGUUCUCUCUGUUUGCAGAUUGCUGCCCCGGAGAGGCUGGGGGGUAGACAAUGCAAACAGGUCACUCCCUACUGCACAGCAGGUCACGGAACGCCCUCACGACAGAACCAAACAACAAUCCAUGGGUUUUAACAAGCUGUUUGCUUAGUGCUUUCCCUUCCCAGAACAGCCACGCUCGGCACUGACAUUGAAAGGACUUAGUAAUGCCCCUAAUUAAUUCUGUGAACAAUGGCAUGGACAUAAGCACCCUCUGCACACUUGGAUGCUCGCAGUAAGAGCAUUGUCAUGUGCUUACCGCAGGGACAAUGGGACUGCGUAUUUAUGGAGUGCCACUCAACAGUAUGAAGCAGGUAAAGCCACAACAUGGCAGAUGGUUGAGGCAGGGCUGGGGGGAGAGAAAACAGGGUUCCCCCAUCCCCCCGCCCCCUCCUCUCUGGCAAGCACGUUUCUCCUCUGGUUUUUGAGUCUCUGUUCAUCUGUUCUGUUUCUUAGAGUCCACGUAUAAGUGAAACCAUAGGGCACUUGUCUUCUUCUGUCUGACUUACUUCACUUAGCAAAACACCGUGUGGGUUCCUCAAAAAAUUAAACAUGGAAACGCCAUAUGAUCUAGCAAUUCCACACCUGGGUAUUUACCACCCUCCCCAAUGAAAACAUUAAUUCAGAAAGAUAUAUACAUCCCCAUGUUUUUUGCAGCAUUACUUACACUAGCCAAGAUAUGGAAGCAGCCCAAGAGUCCAUCAAUGGAUGAGUGGAUACAGAAGACGUGGUGUGUAUAUAUACAAGAGAAGAGUAUUUGUUCUCAUAGUGGGUGAAUGGAUAAAGAUAAUGUGGUGCAGACAUACAAUGGAACCUUAUGGAGUCUUAAAAAGAAGGAAGUCCUGCCUUUUGGGACAACAUGGAUGGACCUUGAGGGCAUCAAGUCAGACACACGAGGCACAACAAGACAAGUACUCUACCAUCUCACUUAUAUAUGGAAUCUACAACAAGUUAAACUCGUAGAAGCCGCGGGCAGAAUGGUGCUUGCCAAGGGCUAGGUUGUGGGGACCUGGGGAGACGUUGGUCAGAGGCACAAAUGUUCAGUGAUUUGAUGAAUAAGUCCCGGGGAUCGAAUGCAGAGCAAGGCGAUUAUUUUUUUUAAAGAUUUUAUUUGUUUAUUUGUCAGAGAGAGAGCGAGCUCAGGCAGGGGGAGCGGGAGGUAGGUGUGAGGUGAUGCGUAUAUUAAUUAACUGGAUUACGGUGAUCAUUUCACGAUGUCUGCGUGUAUCCAGUCAUCACACUGUAAGCCUUAUACAUAUACACAGUUUUACAAGUGUCCAUUGUACAUCAAUAACGCUGGCAGAAAAGAGCGCUUUCUCCUCUAAGAAGUUAAAGAUCAAUACAUUCUGCAACUAAUCUUAAAUAGGAAAAAAAAAAAAAGAGGGUUGGUUGUAUCUCUGUUUGUUCUCUAAGAAAUUAA
Mirounga angustirostris (Northern elephant seal) is the source of this 4645-nucleotide long non-coding RNA. RefSeq lists it as uncharacterized. The transcript is spliced from 3 exons. NCBI's taxonomy places the organism in Eukaryota, Metazoa, Chordata, Mammalia, Carnivora, Phocidae. The record is from RefSeq and is a predicted model, not a curated record.